GCGGGGAUGGCGGAAUGGUAGACGCAUACGUUUGAGGGGCGUAUGGGGCAACCCGUGUGAGUUCGAGUCUCAUUUCCCGCACCA
RNAcentral lists this transfer RNA (84 nucleotides) under Bacilli bacterium. Its description in RNAcentral is "tRNA-Leu". It matches the Rfam family "tRNA". From Rfam's summary of the family: Transfer RNA (tRNA) molecules are approximately 80 nucleotides in length. Their secondary structure includes four short double-helical elements and three loops (D, anti-codon, and T loops). Further hydrogen bonds mediate the characteristic L-shaped molecular structure. tRNAs have two regions of fundamental functional importance: the anti-codon, which is responsible for specific mRNA codon recognition, and the 3' end, to which the tRNAs corresponding amino acid is attached (by aminoacyl-tRNA synthetases). tRNAs cope with the degeneracy of the genetic code in two manners: having more than one tRNA (with a specific anti-codon) for a particular amino acid; and 'wobble' base-pairing, i.e. permitting non-standard base-pairing at the 3rd anti-codon position. The record is from RNAcentral. Lineage: Bacteria; Bacillati; Bacillota; Bacilli.